GCAAUGAACUGUGUAGAAGCAUGCUCACUGGAGCCUCUGAUCUCUCUCCUCAAGAACUCAUAACCACCCUCCAAUGCACCUCUGAGCCUGCCAGCCUCCGCAGUAAGGUUUGUGACCUCAAUAGUGCACUCCUGUGGCUGAGGAUGGGCCAAAGCUAAGACUUGCCCCUGCAAGUCAAGAACUCUCCCAGUCAGUCUCAAAAUGCAAUCCUCGAGCUGCUGAAUCCGAACAGACUGAUCUGAGAUCAACUGAAAUAUAGUGGAGAUAUGGGGGAUCAAGGUCUGAUCAGAUGAAUCUAAUGAUGUGGAUCCCGAUGCAAAUGCAGAAGUGCUCCACUGACGAGAAAGCAAGGAAGCCACACGCUGAGAAAUCUGCUCGAUCUGAUCCUCGGCCAAUCUGAACUCUGAAGGAGGUCCUCUGCUAUUUGACUACUGAACUGGUGUGUACCUCCUGGUGGACUC
This 461-nucleotide long non-coding RNA is filed under the name Elaeis guineensis (African oil palm). Its description in RNAcentral is "long non-coding RNA (EGUI_LNC061273)". Lineage: Eukaryota; Viridiplantae; Streptophyta; Magnoliopsida; Arecales; Arecaceae. The record is from RNAcentral.